This 1506-nucleotide ribosomal RNA is filed under the name metagenome. RNAcentral describes it as "bacterial SSU rRNA". It matches the Rfam family "Bacterial small subunit ribosomal RNA". The record is from RNAcentral.
AGAGUUUGAUCAUGGCUCAGGACGAACGCUGGCGGCGUGCCUAAUACAUGCAAGUAGAACGCUGAAGAGAGGAGCUUGCUCUUCUUGGAUGAGUUGCGAACGGGUGAGUAACGCGUAGGUAACCUGCCUUGUAGCGGGGGAUAACUAUUGGAAACGAUAGCUAAUACCGCAUAACAAUGGAUGACCCAUGUCAUUUAUUUGAAAGGGGCAAAUGCUCCACUACAAGAUGGACCUGCGUUGUAUUAGCUAGUAGGUGAGGUAACGGCUCACCUAGGCGACGAUACAUAGCCGACCUGAGAGGGUGAUCGGCCACACUGGGACUGAGACACGGCCCAGACUCCUACGGGGGGCAGCAGUAGGGAAUCUUCGGCAAUGGGGGCAACCCUGACCGAGCAACGCCGCGUGAGUGAAGAAGGUUUUCGGAUCGUAAAGCUCUGUUGUAAGUCAAGAACGAGUGUGAGAGUGGAAAGUUCACACUGUGACGGUAGCUUACCAGAAAGGGACGGCUAACUACGUGCCAGCAGCCGCGGUAAUACGUAGGUCCCGAGCGUUGUCCGGAUUUAUUGGGCGUAAAGCGAGCGCAGGCGGUUUGAUAAGUCUGAAGUUAAAGGCUGUGGCUCAACCAUAGUUCGCUUUGGAAACUGUCAAACUUGAGUGCAGAAGGGGAGAGUGGAAUUCCAUGUGUAGCGGUGAAAUGCGUAGAUAUAUGGAGGAACACCGGUGGCGAAAGCGGCUCUCUGGUCUGUAACUGACGCUGAGGCUCGAAAGCGUGGGGAGCGAACAGGAUUAGAUACCCUGGUAGUCCACGCCGUAAACGAUGAGUGCUAGGUGUUGGAUCCUUUCCGGGAUUCAGUGCCGCAGCUAACGCAUUAAGCACUCCGCCUGGGGAGUACGACCGCAAGGUUGAAACUCAAAGGAAUUGACGGGGGCCCGCACAAGCGGUGGAGCAUGUGGUUUAAUUCGAAGCAGCGCGAAGAACCUUACCAGGUCUUGACAUCCCGAUGCUAUUUCUAGAGAUAGAAAGUUACUUCGGUACAUCGGUGACAGGUGGUGCAUGGUUGUCGUCAGCUCGUGUCGUGAGAUGUUGGGUUAAGUCCCGCAACGAGCACAACCCCUAUUGUUAGUUGCCAUCAUUCAGUUGGGCACUCUAGCGAGACUGCCGGUAAUAAACCGGAGGAAGGUGGGGAUGACGUCAAGUCAUCAUGCCCCUUAUGACCUGGGCUACACACGUGCUACAAUGGUUGGUACAACGAGUUGCGAGUCGGUGACGGCAAGCUAAUCUCUUAAAGCCAAUCUCAGUUCGGAUUGUAGGCUGCAACUCGCCUACAUGAAGUCGGAAUCGCUAGUAAUCGCGGAUCAGCACGCCGCGGUGAAUACGUUCCCGGGCCUUGUACACACCGCCCGUCACACCACGAGAGUUUGUAACACCCGAAGUCGGUGAGGUAACCUUUUGGAGCCAGCCGCCUAAGGUGGGAUAGAUGAUUGGGGUGAAGUCGUAACAAGGUA